GACGAACGCUGGCGGCGUGCUUAACACAUGCAAGUCGAACGGAAAGGCCCAGCUUUUGUGGGGUGCUCGAGUGGCGAACGGGUGAGUAACACGUGAGUAACCUGCCCUUGACUUUGGGAUAACUUCAGGAAACUGGGGCUAAUACCGGAUAGGAGCUCCUGCUGCAUGGUGGGGGUUGGAAAGUUUCGGCGGUUGGGGAUGGACUCGCGGCUUAUCAGCUUGUUGGUGGGGUAGUGGCUUACCAAGGCUUUGACGGGUAGCCGGCCUGAGAGGGUGACCGGCCACAUUGGGACUGAGAUACGGCCCAGACUCCUACGGGAGGCAGCAGUGGGGAAUAUUGCACAAUGGGCGGAAGCCUGAUGCAGCGACGCCGCGUGCGGGAUGACGGCCUUCGGGUUGUAAACCGCUUUCGCCUGUGACGAAGCGUGAGUGACGGUAAUGGGUAAAGAAGCACCGGCUAACUACGUG
This 468-nucleotide ribosomal RNA is filed under the name uncultured bacterium. Its description in RNAcentral is "partial 16S ribosomal RNA". It matches the Rfam family "Bacterial small subunit ribosomal RNA", at positions 28 to 507 of the family's 1533-position model. The record is from RNAcentral.